GAUGAACGCUGACAGAAUGCUUAACACAUGCAAGUCUUUGGUGAAGCUGUGCUUGCACAGCCUAGCCAAGGCGGACGGGUGAGUAACGCGUAAGGAACUUGCCCUGCAGUCAGGGAUAACAGACGGAAACGACUGAUAAGACCUGGUAAAGUCAGGCGGACUCAUGUCCAGCCUGAUGAAAAGAGAUGCUGCAGGAGAGCCUUGCGUCCUAUUAGCUUGUUGGUGGGGUAACGGCCCACCAAGGCAAUGAUAGGUAGCCGGCCUAAGAGGGUGGACGGCCACAAGGGGACUGAGAUACGGCCCUUACUCCUACGGGAGGCAGCAGUGGGGAAUAUUGGACAAUGGGGGCAACCCUGAUCCAGCAAUUCUGUGUGCACGAUGAAGGUUUUCGGAUUGUAAAGUGCUUUCAGCAGGGAAGAAAAAAAUGACGGUACCUGCAGAAGAAGCGACGGCUAAAUACGUG
Molecule: ribosomal RNA, 463 nt
Filed under: uncultured bacterium
Lineage: Bacteria
Description: partial 16S ribosomal RNA
Rfam family: Bacterial small subunit ribosomal RNA
Source: RNAcentral